AGCGGAGCCAGCCAGGAUUGCCCUUCGCAGGAGAUACUCAACUUUCAGCCUCUGGGCCCUGUGGAUGUUAGAAGAAUGACAGGAGACAGACACUGUCUGAGGAGAAACCCAACUGCUUUUCCAUAUUGCAGCAACUACUCAACUGCCUCCAGAACUGUCUUUCACCAUCCAGCUUCCAAUUUAUUGUCUGGCCUUGUCGACUUCAGUGUGAUUUGAGCAUGCAGUCGAACUUAGAAACAUCAUUUUAUAUAUUUUUUUUCCCAGACUAAAGGUGGAGGAUCAAGAAGGUAGAAAAAAAUUCCUUCCUUCAGUGUGGGGAUCAAAGUUCUGCCUGGUGGAAGGAGUUAAAAUUGUCCAGAAAAAUGCUGAGGAAGAACUCUUCAGCCACUAGGAAUAGAAGACUUCCUCUUUUUCUUUUCACUCCUCAACUCCAAAAGCAUGAUCAGUAUCUAAAUUUUCACCUCUAAUAUUCUUUUGUUAUUAGUAUUCAAUUGUAAACUCUUAAUAAUUUUAACAAUUACUGGCCU
Molecule: long non-coding RNA, 527 nt
Organism: Gallus gallus (chicken)
Lineage: Eukaryota; Metazoa; Chordata; Aves; Galliformes; Phasianidae
Source: Ensembl